Molecule: ribosomal RNA, 301 nt
Filed under: uncultured bacterium
Lineage: Bacteria
Description: partial 16S ribosomal RNA
Rfam family: Bacterial small subunit ribosomal RNA
Source: RNAcentral
CAGUAGCCGCGGUAAUACGUAUGUCACAAGCGUUAUCCGGAUUUAUUGGGCGUAAAGCGCGUCUAGGCGGUUAAUUAAGUCUGAUGUGAAAAUGCGGAGCUCAACUCCGUAUUGCGUUGGAAACUGGUUAACUAGAGUACUGGAGAGGUAAGCGGAACUACAAGUGUAGAGGUGAAAUUCGUAGAUAUUUGUAGGAAUGCCGAUGGGGAAGCCAGCUUACUGGACAGAUACUGACGCUAAAGCGCGAAAGCGUGGGUAGCAGACAGGAUUAGAUACCCGAGUAGUCCCUGUCUCUUAUACA